GACGAACGCUGGCGGCGUGCUUAACACAUGCAAGUCGAACGGAAAGGCCCUGCUUUUGUGGGGUGCUCGAGUGGCGAACGGGUGAGUAACCCGUGAGUAACCUGCCCUUGCCUUUGGGAUAACUUCAGGAAACUGGGGCUAAUACCGGAUAGGGGCUCCUGCUGCAUGGUGGGGGUUGGAAGGUUUCGGCGGUUGGGGAUGGACUCGCGGCUUAUCAGCUUGUUGGUGGGGUAGUGGCUUACCAAGGCUUUGACGGGUAGCCGGCCUGAGAGGGUGACCGGCCACAUUGGGACUGAGAUACGGCCCAGACUCCUACGGGAGGCAGCAGUGGGGAAUAUUGCACAAUGGGCGGAAGCCUGAUGCAGCAACGCCGCGUGCGGGAUGACGGCCUUCGGGUUGUAAACCGCUUUCGCCUGUGACGAAGCGUGAGUGACGGUAAUGGGUAAAGAAGCACCGGCUAACUGCGUG
This 468-nucleotide ribosomal RNA is filed under the name uncultured bacterium. RNAcentral's name for it is "partial 16S ribosomal RNA". It matches the Rfam family "Bacterial small subunit ribosomal RNA", at positions 28 to 507 of the family's 1533-position model. The record is from RNAcentral.